This 501-nucleotide ribosomal RNA is filed under the name uncultured bacterium. RNAcentral's name for it is "bacterial SSU rRNA". It matches the Rfam family "Bacterial small subunit ribosomal RNA", at positions 28 to 524 of the family's 1533-position model. The record is from RNAcentral.
GAUGAACGCUAGCGGCAGGCUUAAUACAUGCAAGUCGAGGGGCAGCACGGUUAGCAAUAACUGGUGGCGACCGGCGCACGGGUGCGUAACACGUAUACAAUCUACCUUAAACAGGGGGAUAGCCUUUCGAAAGAGAGAUUAAUACCCCGUAAUAAAUUGAACGGCAUCGUUUGAUUUUGAAAGCUCCGGCGGUUUGAGAUGAGUAUGCGUCUGAUUAGCUAGUUGGUGAGGUAACGGCUCACCAAGGCGACGAUCAGUAGGGGAUCUGAGAGGACUAACCCCCCACACUGGUACUGAGACACGGACCAGACUCCUACGGGAGGCAGCAGUAAGGAAUAUUGGUCAAUGGAGGCAACUCUGAACCAGCCAUGCCGCGUGCAGGAUGACGGCCCUAUGGGUUGUAAACUGCUUUUAUACAAGAGAAAACCCUGGUACGUGUACCAGGUUGAUAGUAUUGUAAGAAUAAGCAUCGGCUAACUUCGUGCCAGCAGCCGCGGUAAU